GGGCCAGGGGGUCUGCUUAUAUAGUCCUCCUCCUCUGUGCAUUUUUGGUUCAACAGGCGAUGUGGUACUAAACUUUCCACCAUAUCUCAUUAAAAUGCACAUAUGCCUUAAUGGACCAAAAUCUGAUUUGGGCCCAAUUAAUCCCGCAGCUCUUUUAUAUGGAGUCCUUCUUUUAUUAAUAUCUCUUGAUUCCGAACUCCAAAUAUAGCAAAUAAUAUAUGCAUUUCGAUGAGCUCGACGAGAUCUUUGUAACGGUAUACUCCAUUCUGUGAUUGGUGCUUGUACCAGGGCGGUUGCCCAAGGGGAGAGGGCGGGCGCCCUGCCCCCGGGCCCGUUCGGCCUCCCGUUCGUUCCUGUGGCUUCUGGACUCUUCUAGAUGAUAGAAAAUUACGCGGCACAUUAAUAUCCCUAUGUAAACCCGACGUGUGGACCUUUCCUCCAUAUUUUCUGAUAACCCCCUACUGAAAUAGACAAACACCAAAACAUUUGGAAUUCUGUCAGAUAAAACCCUAAGUCUAGGUGUUGGUUGUAUUUGGAUCCUUUUAUUUAUUUAGUUGAUAAUUAUAUUUGGUACUUAAGGACCGUCAACAACUCCCCCAAGCUUACCUCUUGCUCGUCCCUGAGCAAGGAUGGACUUAAGAGUUUCUGCAGUGGUUUCAUGCCUUAAAAGUAAGAUCUCAUCUCUGAGUUAGAGUAAACUUGUUUAGACUUAAAACUUACUCAUUUUACCUUUCACCAUGGGGCUUGUAACCGUCACUUGUGUCUUGAGUAGUUAAAAGAUAGAACGGUCAAGUCAAGUGCCAUGUCUCUUAUUCUUGAUCGGCUAUAGCUCUGGAGUUUUUGUAGAUUUUCAAAUAAAACUCAGAGAUUCCUUGUAUGACUCUCUCCAAUCUCUCUUUUGUGGUAUUUCUGGAUCCUUUCCACGGCAGUAAUGGUAUAUGCCUUCUCUCAAAGUAUGUGGUAUUUUUGGUAUAAGGCAUAGUGAUAUUCCCUUCUCUCUCACCCUACUCUAAUAAGGUUUUGAUAUCUGGAGCUCAUAGGUGAGAGACAGCUAAUACAUACUUACAGGACAUUUAUUGCAUAGUCAAACCAUGGAUCCAGAGAAACAAGUCAAUAAGUCAAAUCAAGAUGUGCAUGUGUGGCGAGUGAAUGGUGUAUGGUGAUGAUGGUGAAAGUCUAAUUCUACUUUUGCUCUUUUGAGGGGAUACAUACCUUUCUUGCACUUUGAAGCUUUUUGAGGAAAAUAGAUGCUCUAUAUUUUCUUUUUCUUUCCUCUCAGGUGGGUAUUUUGUACCCCUAAUUCUACUUUCGGACACUUGUCCAUUUUUACCUCUCGUAUCACUUUUUCUUUUCUUCGAGGUUCCGGGCACUUGCCCCUUUUUAUUUCCUCGUAUUUUUUUUCUCACUUUUUUUUCUCCUUUUUUAGAGCACUCAUCUCCUGAAAUAAUAUAGCAAGUGGUAGUAACCAAAAUAACUGGAGCAUUUAUUUCACAGGGAUAGGAAAAUAUUUUUGGCUAUUCUCUCCCGUAUUAGGAGUAGAAUAACUUUGGGUGAAUCUGGAGAUGGAAAUGAGUGGAUGUAUGUGGAUGCGUACUUUCUUAGUAGAAGCAACAUGUAUGAGUGAACGUGCAAGUGAAUCUUGAUUUUAACCGCAUGACAAGCUCCUAAGGGUCUACACAGCUUGACCACACUCAAUGCUCAUAAGCAGUAAAAAGUAAAUGUGUGGCUCAAAGUCUAGUAAGCAUGUAUGUAUGGCUGUGGUAGGAAUUUAAACUCCCAUCAUACAGGAACUCAUCAUGUAAUAUUUUAAAGAUUUUAAAAGAUAAAAUUCUCUAGAAUUCUAGCAUCUCUAGGAACAGAUAAACAGCAGCUCAACCUUCCCAUAUCAUAUCCGUUAAUGACUUAGACUUCAGAUCAAGUACUCUUCCCACAAGUUCAGGUUUAGAGCAUGUUUAAAUUAUAACAGUUAUGCCUAAACUUGAGAGAUAUUUCAAUUUUGAGAACUAGUCAUGGUAGAGCAACUAUUCAUCAUUUCCAUGUGAGAGCUUAUCAUGAGGGUUCAUAGCAAACUUUAUUUAUUUAGCAAACUAAGCAAAGAUAUAUAUAAAAGCACAAAAUCUUUAUUUAGGUUUUUAAUGAUUAUGCAUCUUUUUAUUAUUUGAGUAAAGUAUAAACGCGAGUAGAAACACUUAGCUAGAUAAAUGGGGGUGCGCUCCCCCAAGCUGGAUUUUGACGUAAUUUCUUCUGAUGUAGCUAGCAAGUGACGGAGGUGUAUUUGAAUGUCGGCAGCACCCUGACAGCGAUUAGGAUGUCCUCCGUCUGCUAGUCUUCUUUGAUCUUUGAAUUAUGUGGAGCUCAAAUAGACAACAAAGCUUUGUGGAACUAGUUAAGUGUUAGCAUAAAUAUCUAGCCUUUAUCAUGUUGAGCCUCCUCAAUAAAUGUUAUUUAUUUAGCAGGAUCAUGCACUUAUUAUUUAUAUUUUUAUUGUAAGAUGAAAACAUAUUUAUUUUAUGCCACCACAGUCAAUAUACCUAUGGGUUUUUAAAACACAAGUCUACUCACAUGGGGCUUACUAUUUUUAACAUUUUUAUUUUCUUUUCGAGAUGAUAUGAACCUGAUUAACUAAACAAAAUAAUUGAAGGGAAAAGGAUAACUACCAAGUUUACCUCUUGGUAAGGCGUUCGGUGUUUUUAAGUCCUCCGAACGGGACUCUUCGUUUUCUCAGUCGUCCUGGGAUUCGCUGGGUGGCGUAGUCGGUGAUUCCGGUGGUGCCUCCUCUUCGUGUAUAACUAUCUUCUCCCUCCACACCUGACUCGGUGCUACGUUCUCCUUAGGACAGUUCUGUUCAAGCUGUAUGUCUUCAGACCUUAUCACUUCUCCUUCGUAGUCUACCCAUCCGUCCUUGAUGAUUUGCCUCCUCUGGUCUUGGUUGCGUCGUCUUCUUCUUGUCUUGAGUCUUCAACUAUAUAGUUAAGGUCAGUAAAAUAGCGGUGUACCUUCUCAGAGGGGAAGUGCAUGUGGACUUCUCCGGUUCCAAUAUAGAUGAUGGUUUUGAUAGUGUUGAGGAAUGGUCUUCCAAGGAUGGUGGGUGGAUCAUACUUGUCUUCUCCCAUGUCAAUGACCUAAAAAUCAUCUGGAGCUGAAUAUAUAUUGAUUGUAGGGGCAUGGUUCCAUGCAGGAGCUGAUAAGUGACUGCGGCCAUUAUGUUGUCAUCAGAUCCGGUGUCGUAGAGUGUCUUCUGAAAAGAGUAUCCAUUGAUUGUGCACUCGAUGCUUGGAACACCGGGGUCGUCCGUGUUCAUCCUUUAGGUGCAUCAUUUGAUUAGGUGUGGACCUUGACAUCUGCACUUCUUGAUACGGUGUCACCCAUGUUCUUCGUUUGUCCAGCAGUUCGAGGUGCGGCAUUGGCAGCAUCCUGCUCAGUGUGUUUGUGCUCAUAGAUCUAGGUCCUUCACUUUGUGGAGUCUGGGAGUUGUAAAACUCCUCCAUGUUUUGCUUGAAGCGUACCUAUUCAUAGAGACAAGGCAGAGAUCAAGUGCAUGGGCCCUGUUGGUGGAAAACACCAACAGAACCAAAAGUGUAUUUGUUCUUAUCUAACCUUAAGCAUAGUGAGCAAGACAAAGUUGAUGGAUAAUAAGAUUAUGAGUGUAGCAUUUAAAACAUUUGUCAGAUGAGAUUGCUCAACCUUAUGGAAAGGUAAUCUAUCUAUAUUUAUGUUUUGUUUAUAUCUUCCAAAUAUUGAAUGUACAACAUUUUAGCUUAUAUGAUUAGGAGUGUGGGAUCACGAAGGUAGUACUAAGAACAAAGAUUAAAGGACUAAACAUGCUGAAUUAAUUGGGUUGGUUAAUUUUGAGUUACAAAUCAUACAUGUUUGUCUCUUUAUUUUAUGUGAACGCCAGAACCAAGGAGAAACUUAUAAAAGUGAUAGUCAAGUACCUGAAGAUGUUACCUUACUUGAAGAGUGAUGGUACAAUAUCACCUUGUGGAAGCUUCCCAUUCGUAAUGAGUGUGUAUCUUGUUUAUGUACUUUGUCUCCUUCCAUGGAUCAUCUCUUUAUGAUGAAUGAGCUAUGUCCUUCUUCUGCAAAUUGUUAAACUUUAUGUGUCUCCUUUAUCUCCAAUGAGUUUGUUUCUCAGUACUUCUCAGGUUGAUAUUGAAAGUUUUCCUGCAGGGGUUAGUCCGACAAAAUAUACCAAUGCCUACUCAAGCAGUUUUUAGUUCAGUAAUCAAACUAGACUCCAUGUCUAAUCAGAUCAAGGAAGGCUAUUUAACCUAAACACCACGCUUAAUUUAAAAGCCAAUAGAAGUAUGUACAGUACUUCCAAACUAACACUUACUAAGAUAAACAUAGGUAGCAUGAUGGCUUUUAUAGAGAUCUACUCAAGUGGAGAUGAAGUAGUGUGAUUAGUAUUUAAGAAAUUGAGCAUGUCUCAAAGAUAAGGACAACCAAUAUAGCAACAUGGCAAAUGAUGUUUUUAUGUAAAGUACUCCCCCAAGCUUGAAUUUUGCAAAAUUCAAGUUUGGAUGAAUUUAAUUCAAUGUUGUGUGAUGGUUGGUUGGACAUACCUUGUGCUUGUCAUUCAUCCGAUCUUCUUGCUCCAAUCCUGGAAAGGUUAGUGGCAAGAAUACUCAAAGGAAUAUUUAUAUAAUUAUCUUUAUAUGCUCAAUACACAAGGCAAUGUUGCAAAUAAUUAGAAGUUCAUGUCACAAUCUGAUCCGUGCUUGUUUUAGUACACUAAGCUUGUCCUUGGGAAACCAUCAAUCAACUCAACGAGAUCUGCAAUAUUUAUUAUAGACAUAUGCAUCGACAACCGCUCUUUUAAAGUUUUUAUAAAUAGAAAGGAAGAGAGGGUUGGAGAUCUCAAAUGUGGUGAUAGCACAUGAAUUUUUAAUGCCCUCUAGCCAUUGAUGUUGCUCUUCUCGAUCCUCCUUGUGGUCUUGGUGACUCUUAUGUAUGGGAUGUCUAGAGAGAUUUAUAGGAUCACUGGGAGGUUCAAGAGAAAGAGCAUAGUAGAAAUUAUUAAGCUUAAGGAUGGGUUCGAUAGACGAAUCAUGGGAUUGAAAUGUUUGAAAAUCAGCUAUUGAAACUUCCUUUCCUUGCCAGGGAGAUGAUUCCUUCUCUAUCUCUAGGAAUUUUUUAUGAAGACUAGUGCAAGAAGGAUGUCCACGAAUGAAGACAUACCUUCCUUUACUAAUAGAUAAAGAAAGAAAGACUCUACCAAAGGUUAUAUGAUAAAGACCAAUGUAAAAAUAUUGAGAAAAAAUAUGGUCUUGUAGGGCUAGGUCUAAACCACAAUUUAUAGAAAGAUUAACAGAUUCCUUAGGUGUAGCAAAAAUUGCAUUAUCUUCUUGAUUAAAAGAUAGGACCUCGGCUAUAGAAAAGGGUUGGUUUUGACCUAUUGCAAUCAACUUCGGACACAGAUCAUAAAUAGGGGCAGGACUUGUUGACUCCCAUGGUCUAUGGCUGGUCUCCGAAGGUGCAAAGAAUUCAAUAAUAGGUAUGGAAUUUAAGUUAUCCAUAAAAAUAAAAAGAUAAAAGAAUAAAAGUAUAAAAGUAUAGUACAAGAUAAUAGCAAGACUUAAAGUUAUCUCAGCAAACCGUUUUUCUCCCUGGCAACGGCGCCAGAAAUGCUUGUUGAUAUUUGGUAACGCAAUAAGGAAAUGAUCCGCAAGCGCACGGAUAUCGGUGAGCAUUUCACCCGGGAGGUUUUCCAGAGUAUCGUAUUUAUAUUUUUACCACUGGGAGAAAGGGUGCAUCUGACAAACCAAAUCUAUUGCUACUAUCCCUUUAGGCUACAAAGAAUGUUUCUCGAUGUGAGCGAUGUAUAGAGAAGACUGCAACCGUAGUCUCGUUCUAACCUUGGUAAGGAUGAUCUACUAUUCUAUUGGGGAAGCUUACGGAAUCUAGACACCACAAAGGAUGUUCGACCCGCACCUAUAAACCUACCUGUCCUGCUAACGAGAUGUGGGAUGCAAAGGUAACUUGGAAAUGUCACGUUCCUUGCUACUACCACGGUCCAGCUAGUCAGGGGAUAUCUAUGAGUACCCUAGCCUAAACACCACGUUUACGCUAGCAAUGAUUACUCUAAUACUCAACCGGAAGAGAUUAAAGUAAACUCAUAAACCGAAGAACAAUAAGAACAAGAACUUACUAGAAUUAGAAGUCGAAUUACUGAAGAAUCCUAGGAGCAAGCCUCAGGUUAGAAGACAUGAUCCCGCAGGUACAACCUCGGAGAAGACACCGACAGGCCGGGCUUCCUCCGGUCUACACCUCCACUCUAUCUUUCUCAAUCUAGUAGAAAGUAGAAGAUCUAAUUCUACUCACAUUGGAUGAUAAGCCUAAAAAUAAAUUUUAUUUAGAGGAGAGGUAUUCCUUCGAGGGCACCUCUCAACUCUAUGAAAAACUUGUUCUACUCCAGGGGCCAGGGGUCUGCUUAUGUAGUCCUCCUCCUCUGUGCAUUUUCGGUUCAGCAGGCGAUGUGGUACUAAACUUUCCACCAUAUCUCAUUAAAAUGCACAUAGGCCUUAAUGGACCAAAAUCUGAUUUGGGUCCAAUUAAUCCCGCAGCUCUUUUAUGUGGAGUCCUUCUUUUAUUAAUAUCUCUUGAUUCCGAACUCCAAAUAUAGCAAAUAAUAUAUGCAUUUCGAUCAGCUCGAUGAGAUCUUUGUAACGGUAUACUCCAUUCUGUGAUUGAUGCUUGUACCAGGCCGGGCGCCCAAGGGUAGAGGGCGGGCGCCCUGCCCCCGGGCCCGUUUGGCCUCCCGUUCGUUCCUGUGGCUUCUGGACUCUUCUAGAUGAUAGAAAAUUGCGCGGCACGGUAAUAUCCCUAUGUAGACCUGACGUGUGGACCUUUCCUCCAUAUUUCCUGACAACCCCUGUAGAAAUAAACAAACACCAAAAAUUGCGCGGCACGGUAAUAUCUCUCAAAGUAUGUGGUAUUUUUGGUAUGAGGCAUAGUGAUAUUGCCUUCUCUCUCACUCUACUCUAAUAAGGUUUGAUAUCUGGAGCUCAUAGGUGGGAGACAGCUAAUACAUACUUACAAGACAUUUAUUGCAUAGUCAAACCAUGGAUCCAGAGAAACAAGUCAAUUAGUCAAAUCAAGAUGUGCAUGUGUGGCGAAUGAAUGGUGUAUGGUGAUGAUGGUGAUAAUGGUGAAAGUCUAAUUCUACAUUUGCUCUUUUGAGGGGAUACAUACCUUUCUUGCACUUUGAAGCUUUUUGAGGGGAAUGAGAUGCUCUAUAUUUUCUUUUUCUUUUCUCUCAGGUGGGUAUCUUAUACCCCUAAUUCUACUGUCGGACACUUGUCCAUUUUUACCCCUCGUCUCACUUUUUCCUUUUCUUCGAGGUUCUGGGCACUUGCCCCUUUUUAUUUCCUCGUAUUCACUUUUUUUCUCAGAGCACUCACCCUCCUGGAAUAAUGUAGCAAGUUGUAGUGACCAAAAUAUCUCGAGCAUUUAUUUCACGAGGAAUAACACGGAUAGGAUUAUGUUUUUUGGCUAUUCUCUCCUUGAUAGGUGUAGAAUAAUUUUGGGUGAAUCUGGAGAUGGAAAGGAGUGGAUGUAUGUGGAUGCAUACUUCCGGAGUAGAAGCAGCAUGUAUGAGUGGAAGUGCAAGUGAAUCUUGAUUUUAACCGCAUGACAAGCUCCUAAGGGUCUACACAGCUUGACCACACUCAAUGCUCAUAAGCAGUAAAAAGUAAAUGUAUGGCUCAUAGUCUAAUAAGCAUGUAUAUGUGGCUGUGGUAGGAUUUUAAACUCUCAUCAUACAGGAACUCAUCAUGCAACAUUUUAAAGAUUUUCAAAGAUAAAAUUCUCCAGAAUUCUAGCAUCUCUAGGAAUAGAUAAACAGCAGCUCAACCUUCUCAUAUCAUAUCCGUUAAUGACUUAGACUUUAGAUCAAGUACUCUUCCCACAAGUUCAGGUUUAGAGAAAAUCUUAAUUCAUAACAGUCAUACCUAAACUUGAGAGAGAAUUCAAUUUUGAGAACUAGUCAUGG
RNAcentral lists this long non-coding RNA (7993 nucleotides) under Sorghum bicolor (sorghum). RNAcentral describes it as "long non-coding RNA (SBIC_LNC010721)". The record is from RNAcentral. Lineage: Eukaryota; Viridiplantae; Streptophyta; Magnoliopsida; Poales; Poaceae.